GAAGGGACCUAGCGUAGUUCGGAAUUACUGGGCUUAAAGAGCACGUAGGUGGUUAAGAAAGUUGGUGGUGAAAUCCCAAGGCUUAACCUUGGAACUGCCACCAAAACUUUUUAACUAGAGUAUGAUUGAGGUAAGCGGAAUUUCUAGUGUAGAGGUGAAAUUCGUAGAUAUUAGAAAGAACACCAAUUGCGAAGGCAGCUUUCUGGAUCAUUACUGACACUGAGGUGCGAAAGCAUGGGUAGCGAAGAGGAUUAGAUACCCUCGUAGUCCAUGCCGUAAACGAUGUGUGCUAGACGUUGGGAAUUUAUUUUCAGUGUCGCAGCAAAAGCGUUAAGCACACCGCCUGGGGAGUACGACCGCAAGGUUAAAACUCAAAUGAAUUGACGGGGACCCGCACAAGUAGUGGAGCAUGUGGUUUAAUUCGAAGAUACGCGCAGAACCUUACCAACACUUGACAUGUUCGUCGCGACUCUAAGAGAUUAGAGUUUUCGGUUCGGCCGGACGAAACACAGGUGCUGCAUGGCUGUCGUCAGCUCGUGUCGUGAGAUGUUGGGUUAAGUCCCGCAACGAGCGCAACCCUUACUUUUAGUUGCUACCAUUUAGUUGGGCACUCUAAAAGAACUGCCAGUGAUAAGCUGG
RNAcentral lists this ribosomal RNA (639 nucleotides) under uncultured Alphaproteobacteria bacterium. RNAcentral's name for it is "bacterial SSU rRNA". It matches the Rfam family "Bacterial small subunit ribosomal RNA", at positions 527 to 1166 of the family's 1533-position model. Lineage: Bacteria; Pseudomonadati; Pseudomonadota; Alphaproteobacteria. The record is from RNAcentral.